AGAGUUUGAUCCUGGCUCAGGACGAACGCUGGCGGCGUGCUUUACACAUGCAAGUCGAACGGUGAAGUCGGGGCUUGCCCCGGCGGAUCAGUGGCGAACGGGUGAGUAACACGUGAGCAACCUACCCCUGACUCCGGGAUAACUUCCCGAAAGGGAAGCUAAUACCGGAUAUGAACCUCUGCGGCAUCGCGGGGGUUGGAAAGUUCUUCGGUCAGGGAUGGGCUCGCGGCCUAUCAGCUAGUUGGUGGGGUAAUGGCCUACCAAGGCAACGACGGGUAGCCGGCCUGAGAGGGCGACCGGCCACACUGGGACUGAGACACGGCCCAGACUCCUACGGGAGGCAGCAGUGGGGAAUAUUGCACAAUGGGAAAGUGACGGUAGGCGCAGAAGAAGCACCGGCUAACUACGUGCCAGCAGCCGCGGUGAUACGUAGGGUGCAAGCGUUGUCCGGAAUUAUUGGGCGUAAAGAGCUCGUAGGCGGUUUGUCGCGUCUGCUGUGAAAAUCCGGGGCUUAACCCCGGACUUGCAGUGGGUACGGGCAAACUAGAGUGUGGUAGGGGAGACUGGAAUUCCUGGUGUAGCGGUGAAAUGCGCAGAUAUCAGGAGGAACACCGGUGGCGAAGGCGGGUCUCUGGGCCAUAACUGACGCUGAGGAGCGAAAGCAUGGGUAGCGAACAGGAUUAGAUACCCUGGUAGUCCAUGCCGUAAACGUUGGGCGCUAGGUGUGGGGCUCAUUUCACGAGUUCUGCGCCGCCGCAAACGCAUUAAGCGCCCCGCCUGGGGAGUACGGCCGCAAGGCUAAAACUCAAAGGAAUUGACGGGGCCCCGCACAAGCGGCGGAGCAUGCGGAUUAAUUCGAUGCAACGCGAACGUGUCGUGAGAUGUUGGGUUAAGUCCCGCAACGAGCGCAACCCUCGUCCUAUGUUGCCAGCGGGUAAUGCCGGGGACUCAUGGGAGACUGCCGGGGUCAACUCGGAGGAAGGUGGGGAUGAGGUCAAAUCAUCAUGCCCCUUAUGUCUUGGGCUUCACGCAUGCUACAAUGGCCAGUACAAAGGGCUGCGAGACCGUAAGGUGGAGCGAAUCCCAAAAAGCUGGUCUCAGUUCGGAUUGGGGUCUGCAACUCGACCCCAUGAAGUUGGAGUCGCUAGUAAUCGCAGAUCAGCAACGCUGCGGUGAAUACGUUCCCGGGGCUUGUACACACCGCCCGUCACGUCACGAAAGUCGGUAACACCCGAAGCCGGUGGCCCAACCCUUGUGGAGGGAGCCGUCGAAGGUGGGACUGGCGAUUGGGACGAAGUCGUAACAAGGUAGCCGUACCGGAAGGUGCGGCUG
RNAcentral lists this ribosomal RNA (1332 nucleotides) under oral metagenome. RNAcentral describes it as "bacterial SSU rRNA". It matches the Rfam family "Bacterial small subunit ribosomal RNA". The record is from RNAcentral.